GACGAACGCUGGCGGCGUGCUUAACACAUGCAAGUCGAACGGAAAGGCCCUGCUUUUGUGGGGUGCUCGAGUGGCGAACGGGUGAGUAACACGUGAGUAACCUGCCCUUGACUUUGGGAUAACUUCAGGAAACUGGGGCUAAUACCGGAUAGGAGCUCCUGCUGCAUGGUGGGGGUUGGAAAGUUUCGGCGGUUGGGGAUGGACUCGCGGCUUAUCAGCUUGUUGGUGGGGUAGUGGCUUACCAAGGCUUUGACGGGUAGCCGGCCUGAGAGGGUGACCGGCCACAUUGGGAAUGAGGUACGGCCCCGACUCCUACGGGAGGCAGCAGUGGGGAAUAUUGCACAAUGGGCGGAAGCCUGAUGCAGCAACGCCGCGUGCGGGAUGACGGCCUUCGGGUUGUAAACCGCUUUCGCCUGUGACGAAGCGUGAGUGACGGUAAUGGGUAAAGAAGCACCGGCUAACUACGUG
RNAcentral lists this ribosomal RNA (468 nucleotides) under uncultured bacterium. RNAcentral's name for it is "partial 16S ribosomal RNA". It matches the Rfam family "Bacterial small subunit ribosomal RNA", at positions 28 to 507 of the family's 1533-position model. The record is from RNAcentral.